Molecule: ribosomal RNA, 437 nt
Rfam family: Bacterial small subunit ribosomal RNA
ACGGGAGGCAGCAGUGGGGAAUAUUGGGCAAUGGGCGAAAGCCUGACCCAGCAACGCCGCGUGAAGGAAGAAGGUCUUCGGAUUGUAAACUUCUUUUAUGAGGGACGAAGGACGUGACGGUACCUCAUGAAUAAGCCACGGCUAACUACGUGCCAGCAGCCGCGGUAAUACGUAGGUGGCGAGCGUUAUCCGGAUUUACUGGGUGUAAAGGGCGCGUAGGCGGGGAUGCAAGUCAGAUGUGAAAUCUAUGGGCUUAACCCAUAAACUGCAUUUGAAACUGUUCUUCUUGAGUGCUGGAGGGGCAAUCGGAAUUCCUUGUGUAGCGGUGAAAUGCGUAGAUAUAAGGAGGAACACCAGUGGCGAAGGCGGAUUGCUGGACAGUAACUGACGGUGAGGCGCGAAAGUGUGGGGAGCAAACAGGAUUAGAUACCCUGGUA